Engraulis encrasicolus (European anchovy) is the source of this 1094-nucleotide long non-coding RNA. RefSeq lists it as uncharacterized. The record is from RefSeq and is a predicted model, not a curated record. NCBI's taxonomy places the organism in Eukaryota, Metazoa, Chordata, Actinopteri, Clupeiformes, Engraulidae. The transcript has 3 exons.
CAAAUAUAAUUCAUGAUGCACAAAUGAAUGUAACCCCAUUCACAAAUGCCAGCGCAGUUCUAUUAAUUUGCAAACCGGUCUACAUAUAUUCGCAAGCCCUAUACAUAUUUGUGACUUCCAUUGUAUUUGUGUGUGGAUUUUUGAGACUGUCCUGACGGUAUUUGACACACAAAUGUGCUCAGCCAAUCACAUCAGCCGGCGUUCGAGCGUAAGGUUGAAGACAUUGCGCUUCUAUUACGCAGAGCAGGCUACUAGUGCGAAGCCACCAUAGAUCUGUAUAAAUAACUGGAAGUAGAGCCAUUACUGAAGUGCUCCCUGACGUAAACUCGGAAGCGUAUGAAGUUACUGACUUUCACAUCAUCUUUGUACAAAUAUGUCUGGAUCUGGACUAACGUGUGCCGUAAUCGGAUGUAACAAUAACAGCAGAAAGCUAAAAAUGUGGAAAAAGAGCGUAUGUGCGCUUCAUAGUCCACAGUUUAAAGAGGAUUGUCCAUGUUGUGUGCCCUACGGUGUACACCGCUUCCCCGGCCGUGCUGAGGAUGAAGACAUUCGCAAGAUGUGGAUUAAAAACGUACACCGAAAGGACUUUGCCCCCAAAACAAGUAUUCAAGGGUGUGUGGAGUACACUUCCCUGACGGCAGACCAACGCAGGAACACCCAUAUCCCAUAAUAUGGGAUAUGAAUAUAGUAAAGCACCGUCAUGUGGAAGACCACCCCAAAGAGGAGAUGUCUCCAGCCCCCAACAGAGAGACCAUGUGAUGAGCCUCCUGUGACAGAUUCUGACACCGAAGUAGGGCAUAGCUUGGAGGAUAGUCUGUCUCCACACCAAUGUGAUGUUGGCACUCAGUGGCCAGAGCGUAGUGAUCAUGAUUGUUGUUCGAUGAAGUCAACAAAAGAUGCAAGCACACAAACCGAUCCUACACCAUCACUGUCAGAUCAUGACAUGGAUGAUAAAGUGUCAAAACUUUACACUGGACUAGACAUCAUCAGCUUUUGGCAACUUUUGAACACCAUCAUUGGCUUUCUUCCACAGUCGAAGACGUUCAAAUUACCAGUCCAUGAACAGCUAAGUGCUGGUCCUAAUGAGGCUUCGG